RNAcentral lists this ribosomal RNA (1438 nucleotides) under uncultured bacterium. RNAcentral describes it as "16S ribosomal RNA". It matches the Rfam family "Bacterial small subunit ribosomal RNA". The record is from RNAcentral.
AGGGUUUGAUCAUGGCUCAGAACGUACGCUGGCGGCACGCCUAACACAUGCAAGUCGAACGCAGUAGCAAUACUGAGUGGCAAACGGGUGAGUAUAAUGUGGGAAUCUGCCUUUUGGUUCGGAAUAACACGAGGAAACUUGUGCUAAUACCGGAUAAGCCCUUACGGGGAAAGUUUUAAUGCCAAAAGAUGAGCCCGCACUUGAUUAGCUAGUUGGUAAGGUAAUGGCUUACCAAGGCAACGAUCAAUAGCUGUUCUUAGAGGAAGACCAGCCACAUUGGGACUGAGACACGGCCCAAACUCCUACGGGAGGCAGCAGUGGGGAAUCUUGCACAAUGGAGGAAACUCUGAUGCAGCGAUGCCGCGUGAGUGAAGAAGGCCCUUGGGUUGUAAAGCUCUUUCGUCGGGGAAGAAAAUGACUGUACCCGAAUAAGAAGGUCCGGCUAACUUCGUGCCAGCAGCCGCGGUAAUACGAAGGGACCUAGCGUAGUUCGGAAUUACUGGGCUUAAAGAGUUCGUAGGUGGUUGAAAAAGUUGGUGGUGAAAUCCCAGAGCUUAACUCUGGAACUGCCAUCAAAACUUUUCAGCUAGAGUAUGAUAGAGGAAAGCAGAAUUUCUAGUGUAGAGGUGAAAUUCGUAGAUAUUAGAAAGAAUACCAAUUGCGAAGGCAGCUUUCUGGAUCAUUACUGACACUGAGGAACGAAAGCAUGGGUAGCGAAGAGGAUUAGAUACCCUCGUAGUCCAUGCCGUAAACGAUGUGUGUUAGACGUUGGAAAUUUAUUUUCAGUGUCGCAGCGAAAGCGAUAAACACACCGCCUGGGGAGUACGACCGCAAGGUUAAAACUCAAAUGAAUUGACGGGGACCCGCACAAGUAGUGGAGCAUGUGGUUUAAUUCGAAGAUACGCGCAGAACCUUACCAACACUUGACAUGUUCGUCGCGACUCUAAGAGAUUAGAGUUUUCGGUUCGGCCGGACGAAACACAGGUGCUGCAUGGCUGUCGUCAGCUCGUGUCGUGAGAUGUUGGGUUAAGUCCCGCAACGAGCGCAACCCUCACUUUUAGUUGCCAUCAUUAAGUUGGGCACUCUGAAAGAACUGCCAGUGAUAAGCUGGAGGAAGGUGGGGAUGACGUCAAGUCCUCAUGGCCCUUACGUGUUGGGCUACACACGUGCUACAAUGGUAUCUACAACAGGAAGCAAGACUGCGAAGUUAAGCAAAUCCCUAAAAGAUACCUCAGUUCGGAUUGCACUCUGCAACUCGAGUGCAUGAAGCUGGAAUUACUAGUAAUCGUGGAUCAGCGUGCCACGGUGAAUGCGUUCCCGGGUCUUGUACACACCGCCCGUCACACCAUGGGAGUUGGUUCUACCUUAAGGCAAGGUUUCAAACCCUUGACCACGGUAUAGUCAGCGACUGGGGUGAAGUCGUAACAAGGUAGCCGUA